GUUGUCGGCCAUACUAAGUCUAAAGCACCGGAUCCCAUUCGAACUCCGAAGUUAAGCGACUUAAGGCGAGGUUAGUACUAACGUGGGGGACCGCUUGGGAAGUCCUCGUGUUGACAACC
Paramecium tetraurelia is the source of this 119-nucleotide ribosomal RNA. The record is from Rfam. NCBI's taxonomy places the organism in Eukaryota, Ciliophora, Oligohymenophorea, Peniculida, Parameciidae.